CUUCCUGCCUUCCUUCCCUCCUUCCCUCCCUCCAUCUUUUUAAUGAUCCGGCCCACAUGAGAUCAAAUUGGUCUGUAUGUGGCCCUCGAAUGAGGACGCAAACGGGACUUAUGAAACAUUUACCUUUUUAUUCAUCAACAGGAAAUGGGACAAACAGGAAAUGGGACAAACAGGAAAUGGGACAAACAGGAAAUGGGACAAACUGACAGAAAAAGCAAAAAACAUACAGAGUCCGACAUGACGGUGUGAAUCCUCUCUCCACUAAUAUGUAAACUCACACGUAUGUUACACAGAGUCACGUUGGUUUAAUGUUCUGUUGUGCACUGAUGUCACAUGAGUUAUAUAAAACGUUAAAAAUGGAUUGAAAUAAAAACACGUUUGGCAAAGACACGUCACAUUUUCUGAUAAAUGUUUGUUUGUCAAAGCUCAAAGUUUCAGUUUCUGUAUUUUAUUUAUUGUUAGUGAGAAAAUAGAUGGAUGGAAGAAAGGGAGGAAGAACAGAUGGAAGGAAGGAAGAAAUGGAGGAAGGAAGGAAGAAAGAAAUGGAGGAAGGACAGAUGGAAGGAAGGACAGAAGGAAGAAAGGGAGGAAGGACAGAUGGAAGGAAGGACAGAAGGAAGAAAGAAAGGAAGGAAGGACUUCAGCUCUGAGUGGCGUCCAGGUCCGGUGUGUCCAUCGUGUCUCUGAUCCAGCUCAGGAAGUUGCCCAGCCGGGUGUAGACGCCGUACUUCCCCAUGGCGGCACA
Long non-coding RNA from Scomber japonicus (chub mackerel), 745 nucleotides. RefSeq lists it as uncharacterized. Lineage: Eukaryota; Metazoa; Chordata; Actinopteri; Scombriformes; Scombridae. The record is from RefSeq and is a predicted model, not a curated record. The transcript has 3 exons.